This 403-nucleotide ribosomal RNA is filed under the name uncultured bacterium. RNAcentral's name for it is "bacterial SSU rRNA". It matches the Rfam family "Bacterial small subunit ribosomal RNA", at positions 355 to 775 of the family's 1533-position model. The record is from RNAcentral.
UGGGGAAUAUUGGACAAUGGGCGCAAGCCUGAUCCAGCAAUGCCGCGUGAGUGAAGAAGGCCUUCGGGUUGUAAAGCUCUUUUACCCGGGAAGAUAAUGACUGUACCGGGAGAAUAAGCCCCGGCUAACUCCGUGCCAGCAGCCGCGGUAAUACGGAGGGGGCUAGCGUUGUUCGGAAUUACUGGGCGUAAAGCGCACGUAGGCGGUUUUUCAAGUCAGAGGUGAAAGCCCGGGGCUCAACUCCGGAAUUGCCUUUGAAACUGGGAGACUUGAACACGGGAGAGGUGAGUGGAAUUCCGAGUGUAGAGGUGAAAUUCGUAGAUAUUCGGAGGAACACCAGUGGCGAAGGCGGCUCACUGGACCGUAGUUGACGCUGAGGUGCGAAAGCGUGGGGAGCAAACAG